UACGGAGGGUGCAAGCGUUGUCCGGAAUCACUGGGCGUAAAGGGCGCGUAGGCGGCUCAUGAAGGCUGUGGUGAAAGUCCGGGGCUCAACCUCGGAUCGGCCGUGGCGACUCGUGGGCUGGAGCACUGUAGAGGCGGGUGGAAUUCCGGGUGUAGCGGUGGAAUGCGUAGAGAUCCGGAAGAACACCAGUGGCGAAGGCGGCCCGCUGGGCCGAUACUGACGCUGAGGAGCGAAAGCGUGGGGAGCGAACAGG
This 253-nucleotide ribosomal RNA is filed under the name uncultured bacterium. RNAcentral describes it as "partial 16S ribosomal RNA". It matches the Rfam family "Bacterial small subunit ribosomal RNA", at positions 524 to 776 of the family's 1533-position model. The record is from RNAcentral.